Molecule: long non-coding RNA, 772 nt
Organism: Meleagris gallopavo (turkey)
Lineage: Eukaryota; Metazoa; Chordata; Aves; Galliformes; Phasianidae
Source: RefSeq, a predicted model, not a curated record
CAAAUUUGCUUCAAAAAUCUUAGGUUUGAAGUUCUGUCAUAGUUUCUUCAAAAUGGGGUAAGGGUAAACAAGGUAUGAACUUAACAGUAUUUACAUUCAAACACUAAGCAAUUUCUGAAGAGUGUGGUAGGAACUAGUUAUUGCAAGAACUAUUAUUUAGUUUAAUUGAUCCCAGCUGGGCUUGGAAGAGGUUCUUGCCAAAAGCAUACAAGUGCUUGCCAAGAGCCUGUCAUAUUUGAUAGCUCACACUGUUAUGAACUUGGCUAAGAGAGGUCAGUCACAUAGCAAAAUCUAAGCUCUCCUCUGCUGUAUCCAGGCUAGCUUAAAAAUGCAGACAUGUUGCCAACUGACUAGCAAGACGUUCUUCUUUCAACCUUGUUUUAAGAGGCCCCUGGUUUCUUGGAAGUGGGGGAGUGCAGCACUGAGAAGCAACGGGAAGAUGUUCUACACAUGGAGCUAUGGGCAGAUGCAGCUGCUCUAGGAUCCUCUGGGCAUCUGUUUUCAUUAAAACUUCACUUGUGCAUUUGACCUAUCAGCUGGAUUCAGCAUAUGUCACUGGUAAAGAGCUUGAACACUGAAAAUCAAAAAUAACAUUUACAUGAAACACUAGCUGCCACUUGCUUCACAUUCAUCUAUCAGAUCUGAUUUUGCAACUUCUAAGUGGCAGAUGAAGGAAAUCCUUAUUGCUUGAAACUGCUCUACCUAUUUAUAUGAACUUGCCACAUGGUUUCCUAAAAUACAAACUGACAAGGCCAUUUGUGUAUGAAAUGCU